RNAcentral lists this long non-coding RNA (353 nucleotides) under Fukomys damarensis (Damara mole-rat). RNAcentral's name for it is "lncRNA (ENSFDAG00000030900.1)". The record is from RNAcentral. Lineage: Eukaryota; Metazoa; Chordata; Mammalia; Rodentia; Bathyergidae.
CCUCCGUUCCCCCGUCGGCGGGUCCGGCGGGUCCGAGGGCGGCGCGGCGGAAGCUGUAGCCGCUGCGACAUCGGCCGAUCCGGGAGGGGCCGCUUUGCAGGCUCCCCUCCGUCCUGCAGUGCCUCAACUCCACGCAGAGGAUGAAAUUUAACGACAGGAAGGACGCGGUCGAUGCAGCGGCGAUGGACUGAGCCUAAGGCUGAAGCACGGCCCCUAGGUUCCUGUGCGGGCAGGAUGUUGGAGCGAGGUGCGAAAUCUCAGGCCCGGACCACAGAUCCUAGCCCCUCUGGCAAGGACCCGGUGACCAAAGGAGGAGAUCCCCACCAGGGCCGGCCGCAGAAACCCAGCCAGUC